UCCUGUAAUGGCUCAGUUGGUUAGAGCAUGGUGCUGAUAACACCAAGGUUGUAGGUUCGAUCCCUGUAUGGGAC
RNAcentral lists this transfer RNA (74 nucleotides) under Podarcis lilfordi (Lilford's wall lizard). Its description in RNAcentral is "tRNA.Ile". It matches the Rfam family "tRNA". From Rfam's summary of the family: Transfer RNA (tRNA) molecules are approximately 80 nucleotides in length. Their secondary structure includes four short double-helical elements and three loops (D, anti-codon, and T loops). Lineage: Eukaryota; Metazoa; Chordata; Lepidosauria; Squamata; Lacertidae. The record is from RNAcentral.